Molecule: ribosomal RNA, 460 nt
Filed under: uncultured bacterium
Lineage: Bacteria
Description: partial 16S ribosomal RNA
Rfam family: Bacterial small subunit ribosomal RNA
Source: RNAcentral
CCUACGGGUGGCAGCAGUGAGGAAUAUUGGUCAAUGGACGAGAGUCUGAACCAGCCAAGUAGCGUGAAGGAUGACUGCCCUAUGGGUUGUAAACUUCUUUUAUAAAGGAAUAAAACGAGGCACGUGUGCCCUUUUGCAUGUACUUUAUGAAUAAGGAUCGGCUAACUCCGUGCCAGCAGCCGCGGUAAUACGGCGGAUCCGAGCGUUAUCCGGAUUUAUUGGGUUUAAAGGGAGCGUAGAUGGGUUGUUAAGUCAGUUGUGAAAGUUUGCGGCUCAACCGUAAAAUUGCAAUUGAUACUGGCAGUCUUGAGUACAGUUGAGGGAGGCGGAAUUCGUGGUGUAGCGGUGAAAUGCUUAGAUAUCACGAAGAACCCCGAUUGCGAAGGCAGCUUACUAAACUGUGACUGACAUUGAUGCUCGAAAGUGUGGGUAUCAAACAGGAUUAGAUACCCCAGUAGUC